RNAcentral lists this ribosomal RNA (482 nucleotides) under uncultured bacterium. RNAcentral describes it as "partial 16S ribosomal RNA". It matches the Rfam family "Bacterial small subunit ribosomal RNA", at positions 28 to 523 of the family's 1533-position model. The record is from RNAcentral.
GACGAACGCUGGAGGCGUGCUUAACACAUGCAAGUCGAACGAUGAAAUGGAGCUUGCUCCAUGGAUUAGUGGCGAACGGGUGAGUAACACGUGAAUAACCUGCCCUUAAUUUUGGAAUAACCCAGGGAAACCUGGGCUAAUACCGGAUAAGUAAACCUGUGGCAUCACAUGGUUUUGGAAAGUUUUUCGAUUAAGGAUGGAUUCGCGGCCUAUUAGCUUGUUGGUGAGGUAAUGGCUCACCAAGGCGACGACGGGUAGCCGGCCUGAGAGGGUGAACGGCCACACUGGGACUGAGACACGGCCCAGACUCCUACGGGAGGCAGCAGUGGGGAAUAUUGCGCAAUGGACGAAAGUCUGACGCAGCGACGCCUCGUGAGGGACGAAGGUCUUCGGAUUGUAAACCUCUUUCAGCAGGGACGAAGCGAAAGUGACGGUACCUGCAGAAGAAGCACCGGCUAACUUUGUGCCAGCAGCCGCGGUAA